ACUUGAAUAGUUUAAUAAAAAUAAUACUUUGUGGUGGUAUUGAUGUGAGCUUCACUUUAAGUC
RNAcentral lists this transfer RNA (63 nucleotides) under Mirhipipteryx andensis. Its description in RNAcentral is "tRNA-His". Lineage: Eukaryota; Metazoa; Arthropoda; Insecta; Orthoptera; Ripipterygidae. The record is from RNAcentral.